AAAAUAAUAAUUUAAAAAAUGUUUAGAAAUUACGGAUGGACUUUAUUGAUACUGCACUUUACCACAGCAGUUCACUAUAAUUAUUAUUGCAGUAAGUUUCUUUCACAACCACACGUGCGACGUAUGAUUAAUUAACACUCACGCGGCCAAACGAGUUAUGUAUCAGAAAAAAACGGUGCUUAGACGUGUCGGAGUUUUAAGAUAAAUUCCCAAAAGUGCUGUAGACCGAAGGAUCCAUUGUAUAUAGGUAUAGACUAUAAGGUACAGGCACAACUCGCGUACCACAGUCCACAGAUGAAGACGCGUCAAAAAUGGGAACGUAUUGCGUAUGCAAAAC
Aphis gossypii (cotton aphid) is the source of this 337-nucleotide long non-coding RNA. RefSeq lists it as uncharacterized. Lineage: Eukaryota; Metazoa; Arthropoda; Insecta; Hemiptera; Aphididae. The record is from RefSeq and is a predicted model, not a curated record. The transcript has 3 exons.